GAUGAAGAACGCAGUGAAAUGCGAUAAGUAGUGUGAAUUGCAGAAUUCAGUGAAUCAUCGAAUCUUUGAACGCACAUUGCGCCCCUUGGUAUCCCGAGGGGCAUGCCUGUUCGAGCGUCAUUUCACCACUCAAGCCUGGCUUGGUGUUGGGCGACGUCCCCUUUGGGGACGCGCCUCGAAACGCUCGGCGGCGUGGCACCGGCUUUAAGCGUAGCAGAAUCUUUCGCUUUGGAAGUCGGGGCCCCGUCUGCCGGAAGACCUACUCGCAAGGUUGACCUCGGAUCAGGCAGGGAUACCCGCUGAACUUAAGCAUAUCAAGCGGAGGA
Molecule: unclassified non-coding RNA, 326 nt
Filed under: soil metagenome
Description: partial contains 5.8S ribosomal RNA, internal transcribed spacer 2, and large subunit ribosomal RNA
Rfam family: 5.8S ribosomal RNA (bases 1-120)
Source: RNAcentral